UAGGAGCAGGUGCAGGUAUCUCUUCUUUCUCUAUGAGUUGCUUCAGCUCUUCUAUAUAUUCAAGGUCUUUCAUGCUUGGUUUUGAAAAGGUACCAGCAGGAAAACAAGUUUCUGACACCCAUUGUUGCCCACCACAAUCAAAGCCGAGGAUUUCAUCACUCCAUCCCACUCUAUAUCCUUCUGACUUCCUCCAGAAUUCAGCCUCAGCGUGAUUAACCUUUAUGACAUGGUCUUUGUUAAGAGGAUCAAGAGCAAGCAGUUUAUCUCUUAACUCUGUAAAUGAAAGCUCAUUUUCGUCUGUUUCAUCAUCAUCAACAGAUUUAGCUGCAUUUACUCCAGUCCUGUACUUCUUGAGGGACUCCUUGUAAAGGUCACGAACAUGCUGUAUAGCCUCAUCUUUGCUAUAUUUUGGUUUGAAUUUGGGUGGACCCCUCCAUUUGGAAACAGGGUUGCAUGUCACAACCACAACACUGUCAGUGUAUGGGAUAUAUAGGUAUUUCACAUGCUUAUUCUCAGAUAGCAAUUUCUUGUGGUUUUUCUUGAUUUCCUUCAUGUUCAAGAUGAACGUAUGCUCCACAAGCUCUUGCCUAUCAACACAUUGUAAGGUGACUUCAGCAACCACUCCAAGGCCCCCAAGACCAACGCGAGCUAGAUAAAAGAGCUCUGGAUCUUUCUCUUUUGAAAUCUCUAUUGUUCCUUUGGAAGGAGUGACUAGUUUCAUGCUAAUUACCUGCUCAUCAAUAGGUGGCAAUCUUGCACCAGUACCAUGUGCACCAACCUGAACAAUGCCACCAAUUUGCUGUUCUCUAAUGGACGCAAAAUUUUGUAAAGU
This 832-nucleotide unclassified non-coding RNA is filed under the name Hevea brasiliensis (rubber tree). The record is from RNAcentral. Lineage: Eukaryota; Viridiplantae; Streptophyta; Magnoliopsida; Malpighiales; Euphorbiaceae.